GUAUCCGGAAUUAUUGGGCGUAAAGCGUCCGCAGGCGGCCCUUCAAGUCUGCUGUUAAAACGUGGAGCUUAACUCCAUCAUGGCAGUGGAAACUGUUGGGCUUGAGUGUGGUAGGGGCAGAGGGAAUUCCCGGUGUAGCGGUGAAAUGCGUAGAUAUCGGGAAGAACACCAGUGGCGAAGGCGCUCUGCUGGGCCAUAACUGACGCUCAUGGACGAAAGCCAGGGGAGCGAAAGGGAUUAGAUACCCCUGUAGUCCUGGCCGUAAACGAUGAACACUAGGUGUCGGGGGAAUCGACCCCCUCGGUGUCGUAGCCAACGCGUUAAGUGUUCCGCCUGGGGAGUACGCACGCAAGUGUGAAACUCAAAGGAAUUGACGGGGGCCCGCACAAGCGGUGGAGUAUGUGGUUUAAUUCGAUGCAACGCGAAGAACCUUACCAGGGUUUGACAUCCUGCGAACCUCUUGGAAACGAGAGGGUGCCUUCGGGAACGCAGUGACAGGUGGUGCAUGGCUGUCGUCAGCUCGUGUCGUGAGAUGUUGGGUUAAGUCCCGCAACGAGCGCAACCCACGUCUUUAGUUGCCAGCAUUUAGUUGGGCACUCUAGAGAGACCGCCGGUGAUAAACCGGAGGAAGGUGUGGAUGACGUCAAGUCAUCAUGCCCCUUACAUCCUGGGCUACACACGUACUACAAUGCUACGGACAAAGAGCAGCAAGUUCGCGAGGACAAGCAAAUCUCAUAAACCAUGGCUCAGUUCAGAUCGUAGGCUGCAACUCGCCUACGUGAAGGAGGAAUCGCUAGUAAUCGCAGGUCAGCAUACUGCGGUGAAUACGUUCCCGGGCCUUGUACACACCGCCCGUCACACCAUGGAAGUUGGCCACGCCCGAAGCCGUUACUCCAACCCUUGUGGAGGAGGACGUCGAAGGUGGGGCUGAUGACUGGGGUGAAGUCGUAACAAGGUAGCCGUA
This 964-nucleotide ribosomal RNA is filed under the name uncultured bacterium. Its description in RNAcentral is "bacterial SSU rRNA". It matches the Rfam family "Bacterial small subunit ribosomal RNA", at positions 541 to 1504 of the family's 1533-position model. The record is from RNAcentral.